RNAcentral lists this ribosomal RNA (390 nucleotides) under uncultured bacterium. RNAcentral describes it as "bacterial SSU rRNA". It matches the Rfam family "Bacterial small subunit ribosomal RNA", at positions 963 to 1352 of the family's 1533-position model. The record is from RNAcentral.
GAAGGAACUUACCUGGUCUUGACAUCCACAGAACUUUCCAGAGAUGGAUUGGUGCCUUCGGGAACUGUGAGACAGGUGCUGCAUGGCUGUCGUCAGCUCGUGUUGUGAAAUGUUGGGUUAAGUCCCGCAACGAGCGCAACCCUUAUCCUUUGUUGCCAGCGGUUAGGCCGGGAACUCAAAGGAGACUGCCAGUGAUAAACUGGAGGAAGGUGGGGAUGACGUCAAGUCAUCAUGGCCCUUACGACCAGGGCUACACACGUGCUACAAUGGCAUAUACAAAGAGAAGCGACCUCGCGAGAGCAAGCGGACCUCAUAAAGUAUGUCGUAGUCCGGAUUGGAGUCUGCAACUCGACUCCAUGAAGUCGGAAUCGCUAGUAAUCGUAGAUCCAG